This 776-nucleotide ribosomal RNA is filed under the name Salmonella enterica subsp. enterica serovar Durham. RNAcentral's name for it is "partial 23S ribosomal RNA". It matches the Rfam family "Bacterial large subunit ribosomal RNA", at positions 1 to 719 of the family's 2925-position model. The record is from RNAcentral. Lineage: Bacteria; Pseudomonadati; Pseudomonadota; Gammaproteobacteria; Enterobacterales; Enterobacteriaceae.
GUUAAGCGACUAAGCGUACACGGUGGAUGCCCUGGCAGUCAGAGGCGAUGAAGGGCGUGCUAAUCUGCGAUAAGCGCCGGUAAGGUGAUAUGAACCGUUAUAACCGGCGAUACCCGAAUGGGGAAACCCAGUGUGAUUCGUCACACUAUCAUUAACUGAAUCCAUAGGUUAAUGAGGCGAACCGGGGGAACUGAAACAUCUAAGUACCCCGAGGAAAAGAAAUCAACCGAGAUUCCCCCAGUAGCGGCGAGCGAACGGGGAGGAGCCCAGAGCCUGAAUCAGCAUGUGUGUUAGUGGAAGCGUCUGGAAAGGCGCGCGAUACAGGGUGACAGCCCCGUACACAAAAGCGCAUGUGCUGUGAGCUCGAUGAGUAGGGCGGGACACGUGGUAUCCUGUCUGAAUAUGGGGGGACCAUCCUCCAAGGCUAAAUACUCCUGACUGACCGAUAGUGAACCAGUACCGUGAGGGAAAGGCGAAAAGAACCCCGGCGAGGGGAGUGAAAAAGAACCUGAAACCGUGUACGUACAAGCAGUGGGAGCCCCACCACUAAGCCAGUGGUGAACUCCACAUACGCAUCCUUUGCUGAGGAUACGGUUAACGGAGCGAAAGCGACGUUCAACCGCAAAAGAAGCAGAGGGGGCUUAGUGGUGGGGUGACUGCGUACCUUUUGUAUAAUGGGUCAGCGACUUAUAUUCUGUAGCAAGGUUAACCGUAUAGGGGAGCCGGAGGGAAACCGAGUCUUAACCGGGCGUUAAGUUGCAGGGUAUAGACCCGAA